RNAcentral lists this long non-coding RNA (2083 nucleotides) under Homo sapiens (human). Its description in RNAcentral is "long non-coding RNA NONHSAT181746.1". The record is from RNAcentral. Lineage: Eukaryota; Metazoa; Chordata; Mammalia; Primates; Hominidae.
UGAGAACAUGCGUUGUUUGGUUUUUGGUCCUUGCGAUAGUUUGCUGAGAAUGAUGGUUUCCAGCUUCAUCCAUGUCCCUACAAAGGACAUGAACUCAUCAUUUUUUAUGGCUGCAUAGUAUUCCAUGGUGUAUAUGUGCCACAUUUUCUUAAUCUAGUCUGUCAUUGUUGGACAUUUGGCUUGGUUCCAAGUCUUUGCUAUUGUGAAUAGUGCCACAAUAAACAUACGUGUGCAUGCUCACACAGAUACUUUUUAACAACAUGACCACUUUCUAAGUUCAUUACCCUUUGAAACAAAAUAAAACAAAACUCAGCUACACCAUUUCUAAACAAAGGUGUAAAAAAAAAAUUGAAGAUCCAGUUAGCUAAGGAAGCCACUAAAAGAGUUGGAACAAAAGGCUCUCUCCAAAUGGCUAUGAAUUUAAGCCUUUAUAAUUCAUAAAGAACAUAUGAAUUCAGGAAGAAAAAUGUGCAGUUUAUAGUUUUAUAUAGCAUUAACCCUGGAAGUUGCUCUCAGAUCUUAAAAGUCUUCAAACUCUUCUGUUACUUUUACAUAUGAAGAUAGCAACGUAUUUGGUUGAUGAUGGCUAAGAAAACAUCUGGCACAGCCAUAUUAACAAGGGAAUAGUUUGUUUUACGACAGAAGAGGAAGCUUCUGUUCUCGGCUAAGAGCCAUGUCCUCAGAUACCAUGGCAAUAAAUGGAAAGCUUGUCAGUAAGUGGUUGCCUCUUUGUCUUAAAUUUUUAAGCAGUUUAGUAGUUAGCUCCAAAUUAGGAAAUUAACUGGCAAUCAAAGCAUUGGAGCAGGAAAACCCAUUAUAGCUCUUCCAAAUCUCCAAAAAAAAAAAAAAAAAAAAAAAGGUUAGCAUUACGAUAACUCUUUGUAGGAAGAGGAAUACAGCAGGGCGCGGUGGGUCAUGCCUAUAAUUCCAGCACUCUGGGAGGCUGAGGUGAGCAGAUCACUUGAGACUAGGAGUUCCAGACCAGCCUAGGCAACGUGGCAAAACCCUGCCUCUACUAAAAAUGCAACAACAACAACAAAACUAGCCGGGUGUGGUGGCGUGUGCCUGUGGUCCCAGCUACUCAGGACGCGGAGGUGGGAGAAUCACCUGUGACCAGGGAGGUUGAGGCUGCAGUGAGCCAAGAGUGCGCCACCACACUCCAGCCGGGGUGACAGAGUGAGAACCUGUCUCAAAACAAACAAACAAACAAAAAAAAUUAGAAGAAUUGAAAGAAUUGACUGGUAGAUGGAAACAUGCUGGAAUCUGUUGGCUUGCUUGCAGGUAUAGGGGCCUCAAAAGGUAUCUCCCCAUUUAGAACCUUUGUGUUUGUUUUACCAGUGGCUUUAAUUAUUUCUCAGCUCAACCCCACUGCUUCCCUAAACACUGGAUAGUAGUGGAAUAGCUUAGUGGUGACAUCUUAUAGGCCCAAGAAUAGAAAUAGCACCGGAUCAGUUAACUAAGAACAAAAUGUCAUUCACAUACAUCUUGCUGAGAUGGUGAAGAAUAUUCUCCCUUUCUUCGGCUUUCCUAUAUUUCUUUAGGAGACCUCUUGUACUGUGGUAAAUUGUCAACAUAUCUCAUGUAGUUAUUCUCAUGCAUGCCAUCUUCCUGAACAGCAACAGAUACUGUGAGGCAGGAACUGUGCCUUAUACUUUCUCCCCCACAGUGCCUAGGAGAAUGUCUUGUACACAGUAGGUUUUCAGUAAAUGAAAACUGGAUACAUUUUAGGAAUCAAGCCAAGGGAGUGGCCAGCUGUAGCAACGAUCAAUGUGGCUCAACUACACUCAAGAGUAUCCCAUCUUCAGGACAAAGGACAGUCAAUCUUGAGCCAUUCUGAACUGAUUAUCAUACUCCUAAGUAUCAUUGAUUUCAUUUGGCAUUUUCAGUGAAGAUGUGGGCUUUUUAUUUAUCUCUGGAAUAUUCCAUCCAGAGUAUUUGGGUUUACUUAUAGCAAAAAAAAAAAAAAAAUUCAUUUAAAAACUGUUUAUCAAACAUGAGAGCAAAAUGUAUUAUGUACUCAAGAUGGUGAUUUUUAAAUUUUUUCGAUUUCAUUUUAACUAUUGUUGAAGCCAUCCACUGGGAG